RNAcentral lists this ribosomal RNA (485 nucleotides) under uncultured bacterium. RNAcentral's name for it is "partial 16S ribosomal RNA". It matches the Rfam family "Bacterial small subunit ribosomal RNA", at positions 30 to 508 of the family's 1533-position model. The record is from RNAcentral.
AUUGAACGCUGGCGGCAGGCCUAACACAUGCAAGUCGAGCGGAUGAAGGGAGCUUGCUCCUGGAUUCAGCGGCGGACGGGUGAGUAAUGCCUAGGAAUCUGCCUGGUAGUGGGGGAUAACGUCCGGAAACGGGCGCUAAUACCGCAUACGUCCUGAGGGAGAAAGUGGGGGAUCUUCGGACCUCACGCUAUCAGAUGAGCCUAGGUCGGAUUAGCUAGUUGGUGGGGUAAAGGCCUACCAAGGCGACGAUCCGUAACUGGUCUGAGAGGAUGAUCAGUCACACUGGAACUGAGACACGGUCCAGACUCCUACGGGAGGCAGCAGUGGGGAAUAUUGGACAAUGGGCGAAAGCCUGGUCCAGCCAUGCCGCGUGUGUGAAGAAGGUCUUCGGAUUGGAAAGCACUUUAAGUUGGGAGGAAGGGCAGUAAGUUAAUACCUUGCUGUUUUGACGUUACCAACAGAAUAAGCACCGGCUAACUUCGUGC